RNAcentral lists this ribosomal RNA (461 nucleotides) under uncultured delta proteobacterium. RNAcentral describes it as "bacterial SSU rRNA". It matches the Rfam family "Bacterial small subunit ribosomal RNA", at positions 1071 to 1533 of the family's 1533-position model. The record is from RNAcentral. Lineage: Bacteria; Deltaproteobacteria.
GAGAUGUGGGUUAGUCCGCACGAGCGCAACCCUAUCCUUAGUUGCCAGCACAUUAUGGUGGGGACUCUAAGGAGACUGCCUGGGAUAACUAGGAGGAAGGUGGGGAUGAUGUCAAGUCAGUAUGUCCCUUAUGCUCAGGGCUACACACGCGUUACAAUGGUUGGUACAGAGGGUCGCGAAUCCGCAAGGUGGAGCCAAUCCCCCAAAACCAACCCCAGUUCGGAUUGGAGUCUGCAACUCGACUCCAUGAAGCAGGAAUCGCUAGUAAUCGUGGAUCAGAACGCCACGGUGAAUACGUUCCCGGGUCUUGUACACACCGCCCGUCACGCCAUGGAAGUCAGUAGUACCCGAAUCGAGUGGCUCAACCUUCGGGAGGGAGCUCGUUAAGGUAAGAUUGGUAACUGGGGCGAAGUCGUAACAAGGUAGCCGUACCGGAAGGUGCGGCUGGAUCACCUCCUUUU